CAGCACACCAAUUUGUUGGGUCAGCAUGUCCAUGUCAAUGCGUUGAGCACAGGGCUGUGAAUCCUGUAAAGAAGAACAAGACAUACGGCUACUGUGGGCACCAGACCUGCGUCCCAAAUGGGGCGUCUGCAUCCCACUAAAACUUCCCUCAUAGUCACUGUCAUCAUCAUCACCUACAGCUCAUGCUCUUGCACGUGUGGUUGGUCCCGUGAAAGGUCCUAAUUGGCUAGAGGGGGGUGAAUAGCCUAAUUUAAAAUUCUACAAAGACACUAGAGCAAGAAAAUUAGUAAAACAAAUGGCGAAAUGCGGUUUGCUCUAGCUCUACUUAUUAGGCAAGCCACCUAUUUGCAAUUCUAAUUCUUUAUUAUCUCUAUGCCACACAAAUACUAUGCCUCUAAAUUUAAACUAGUGAGCAAGCUAAAAGAGCUAUCAAGAACAAUAAAUUAAGCUAUGCUACUCUAUUUGAUUUCUACCACCACUACACAAAAUAUGUUGCAAGAAAAAAAAUAAUGCAAAGAUGGAUAGAGAGCUUUUUAUACCAACGUUGGAGAGAAGCCAAUCACCAAGAUGAUAUCCAAUCAAUCACAAUUUCAAUAAGUGAAUACCAAUAAAUACCAAGAAUGCCAAUAUAUCAAUUCAAUCCAAUUCACCGGGAGACAAAGAUGACACAAUUAUUUUUCUCCCGAGGUUCACUUGCUUGCCAGCAAGCUAGUCCCCGUUGUGUCCCCCGCACCACGUGGUUCGGUGGCUAAUCGGUAUCACACACCGAGCCUAUCAAAAGGCGCCACAAGAACCUACCAAUGGAUUAUAGUUGAAUGACACGAGCAAUCCACUAGAGUUGGAAUUAGGCACUCCGCCGGGGAACCACAAUAACCCCUCACAAAUCACCUCUUGAUUGGGGGCAGACACAAUCACCAAAUCCCCUCACCAAUCACCAAUCACCAACCGUCUAGGUGACGGCAAUCACCAUGAGUAAUACGAAAUCCUCAAUUGCAAUCACAAUCUAGUGCCACAAAUAUGAAUCACAAAAUGCACAAGAACACUAGAUUUUACUACCUCCUCUCAUGAGCAUGAACCAACCAUGGAGAGGGAGAGGAGAUGAAGGGGAUCCUCUUGGACCUCUCAAAUCGAUCUCUAGAGCACUAUCCUUCACUUGAAUGGAGCACAAAUCAAUGGAGUGAAGGGAUGGAGGAUUGGGGCUCUUUUCUUCUAGGGUUUGCAAGAGGAAGAGGAAAGGAGCAGCUCUGUUUUCUUUUCUGUUGAAUGGCCGAGCACUGAGCCUGGGCCGAAGGCCUCGGUCUUUUACGGGAUCAGCAGCAAGGAGCGGGGUCACGAGCGUCCACACCUGCAAGCCCCCUGACGCCGUGACCCCACCAGCAAUGGGUGGGAAGCCAGCGGCCCGAUGCGCUCCUGGGAAGCUUCCCGGAAGCUCCCUGGUCAGCUGCAUGCAAGUGAGGGGCCCCACGAGAGAAAGCAAACAGAGCAACAGCAGGCAACGACUCUUCGAAUUUUUCUCUGCCUUGCAAGCGAGCGGCGGUAGCAGCAGCCCAUCGGCAGACACAACAGCUAGCACCACUCCACGCAAAGCAUGCAAGCACUUGUAAAACCUUUCUGACCACACGAAACCUGUAGAGCCAAAAAGGUGGAUGCAUGCAUGCACACGCAUACACCAUGCAUGCUACAGGAAGGAGUGUUUUUAUGUCAUGCAAGCAGGCUCUUUUUUUUCUUUCCAUACGCUUUUUAAGUACUAACUUUUCAUGAGUACCAAAAAUAAAUUAAGCACUUAAGUUAGCAUAUCACAAAUAUUUUCUUAGGAUUUUUCAUGCAAUUUCACCACAUCACUAAGCGCAAGAAAUAUAUGCAAAUGAGACUCAACUUAGUGGCACUAAAUAACCAUUGCAAUUAAAGAUUUCCCCUCUUAAUAGUACGGUUAUCUAUCCUAAAUCCGAUCACGCACUCUAUUGCGUCUUGACCGGCAAAAACAAAUAUCCUAUUUUAUACCUUUGCCUUGAGCCCUUCUUCUUCUUUGCAAGAUAUGAGCACUUGACCAUAAUUUCCGGUCAUCUCCAUCAUAUUUGAGUGCCAUCUAGCUCGACCACAAUAUGAACCAACCUAUCUCAUCUAUCACUUAGAGCCAAAGGUUAGUUCUCAUAGGUUUCAUCAAUUAUCCAAAACCAAACUAGAGCUUUCAAUCUCCCCCUUUUUGGUAAUUGAUGACAACCUCCACAAAGAUAUGAAUUAAAUUCAAUUUGAAUUUGAGUUGCUUGUCCAAGCAUUAAGAUCAUGAAAAAGAAUUGGCAAUCACCACAAAUUCGAUUUUGGUAGUACUAGCUCCCCCUACAUAUGUGCUUCAUGAGUUUGGUACAAUUAUUCACAUAUGUAUGGAUAUGAACUUUGGGAGAGUAGUAGCUACCAAAAUGAUGCUAAGGUGUAAGAGAUGGACCUUUGAAGCGUGAUACCAAUCGGAGUGCACCAUUUACACCAUCCUUAGCACCAUGAAGCUAGAUAUCACUUGAUAACCAUUUGAUAGAUCAUGUAAAAUCACAAACACUAGAUACCUCAUGAGAUCAACAUUAUAAGCAAGGUUCUAGAAUGACUUGAAUGAACAACAAAUUUAUAACAUAUCUAGCUAUCACCUAUGCAUGCUAGUAUUUCAAUCAUCAUCCAAGUUCUAUUACUAGCAUACACCACACAAGCAUGUAUAUGGAGUUUUAAAACUUGUGCAAUGCAAGCAAGCAUAUGGAUAUGCACAUACAAAUGCAACAAAUAAGUCCAUGAGCUUGCUCCCCCUACUUGUGUGCUCAAUUUUAAUUGAUUCCCUUCCUUUCUCAAAUCUUUUCUCUCCCCGUAUCUUUGUGACUUUCUCUCCCCCUUUGUCAUCUAUUACUAAAAAGUUAUGGUCAAGUUGUGGAGAGUAAAUUAGUCAAGUUCUUUUGAUGGGGUGGAUUAGGUUCAAUUUUUACAAUUUUGGUUCAAUCUAGACCACUUGCCUAAGAUAUUUAUCUCGGUUUGAGCCAAAGACAAGCUUCUUCACACCUCAUGCAAGGGUUAUCUUGCCUAUGUUGAGAUAAACACUUAUAGCUCAUUUUCUAGAUUAAACACUAGGAUUGCAAGCCCACAAACAUGUCAUAUGCUACCACUAGAUCAUAUCAAGCAUAGAAACAAUAGUGGUACCAUACAUACAUCAAAUUCAUUUGAUUUUCAUGAAUGCUCCUAAAGAACCACAUGUCAUGUCUAUAUGUACUAAACAUGUCCUUAGCAAAGCAUGAAUGGUAUGUCAUACAAUUUUACCUUUGCUUUGUUGAAGGAGAGGCAUGUCAUAUAAGUGGGGUGCAUUCAACUCAUAUUUGAGAAAUCAAGGAUGUUCAAUUCAUUCCUUAGCUUGCAAAACCUCUUCUCAUCAAGUGGCUUGGUGAAUAUAUCGGCAAGUUGAUCAUCGGUGCCAACACUCUCAAUUCAAAUAUCACCCUUUUGUUGAUGAUCCCUUAUGAAAUGGUGCCUAAUAUCAAUGUGCUUUGUUAUUGAAUGUUGAACCGGAUUGUUGGUUAACUUGAUAGCACUCUCAUUGUCACAUAGCAAUGGCACUUGUUUAAAUUUGAUCCCAAAGUCAUCCAAAGUUGCUUUCAUCCAAAGCAAUUGUACACAACAACUACCAGCACUUAUGUAUUCGGCCUCGGCGGUUGAAAGAGCCACACUAUUUUGUUUCUUUGAUGACCAUGAAACAAGUGAUCUUCCCAAUAGUUGACAUGUGCCACUAGUGCUCUUCCUAUCAACCUUGCAUCCCGCAUAAUCGGAGUCGGAAUAACCAAUCAAUACAAACCCCUUUUGGAUACCAAAGUCCAACAUCUUGUGUAUGUUUCAAGUACCUCAAUAUUCUCUUUGUUGCCUUGAGAUGACUCUCUCUAGGUGAGGCUUGGAAUCUUGCACACAUGCAUACACUAAACAUGACAUCUGGCCUUGAAGCGGUCACAUAGAGUAAGCUUCCAAUCAUAGACCAAUAUAAUUUUUUAUCCACCAUGUUGCCACUAGCAUCAUUAUCAAGAUGACCAUUUGUUCCCAUAGGAGUGCUAAUAGACUUUGCAUCUUGUAACCCAAACUUCUUUAUCAUGUCCCUUAUGUACUUGCCUUGACUCACAAAUGUGCCAUGCUUCAAUUGCUUGAUUUGAAGACCAAGGAAGUAACUAAGUUCACCAAUCAUGGACAUCUCGAUUUCAUUAGCCAUCAUCUUUCCAAACUCCUCACAAAAGUCUUGGUUGGUUGAUCCAAAAAUGAUAUCAUCAACAUAUAUUUGCAACACAAACAAGUCUUUGCCUAUCAUUUUGGUGAAGAGAGUAGUGUCAACCUUACCCAUUUUGAACCCUUUAGAGAGUAGGAAAUCCCUCAACCGCUCAUACCAUGCUCUAGGUGCUUGUUUCAAACCAUACAAUGCCUUCUUCAACUUAUAAACAUGGUUGGGUUUCUUGUCAUUUUCAAAACCGGGAGGUUGUUCAACAUAAACCAAUUCAUUGAUGUAGCCAUUGAGAAAUACACUUUUCACAUCCAUUUGAUAUAACUUGAUAUUGUGGGCACAAGCAUAAGCUAAUAAGAUUCUAAUUGCUUCCAAUCUUGCAACCGGUGCAUAUGUUUCACCAAAGUCAAGACCCUCUACUUGAGUGUAACCUUGAGCCACUAGUCUUGCUUUAUUUCUCACAACUAUGCCAUCUUGAUCUUGCUUGUUUCUAAAAACCCAUUUGGUACCAAUCACAUUAUAAUUCUUUGGCCUUUCAACAAGUUCCCAUACUUGGUUGCGAGUGAAAUUAUUUAAUUCUUCAUGCAUAGCAUUAACCCAAUCAACAUCCAUCAAAGCUUCUUCAAUCUUAGUUGGCUCAAUAGAUGAUACAAAUGAAAAGUGUUCACAAAAGGAUGCCAACCUUGAUCUAGUUUGCACACCACUUUGAAUGCCUCCAAUGAUUUGAUCUAAGGGAUGGUCUCUUGCAAUAUUUGAUGGUUGGAGCACUUGAACUUGAUUGCUUGUACUAGAUUGAUCAUUUGAUUUAUUCUCAUGAGAUGAACUAGCAUCAUGUUGAUCUUGCACUUGAGAGCCACUAGUUUGUACAAUAGGAGAAGAGAGCACUUUAUCUUUGUCAUCUUGAAUAUCAAUAAUUUCUCUAGGCCGAAUAUCACCAAUAUCCAUAUUCUUCAUUGCAUCAACUAGUUGAGAGCCUCUCACAUCAUCUAAAUUUUCUUCUUCAUUUUGAGAGCCAUUUGUUUCAUCAAAUUCAACAUCAUGAACCUCCUCAAGAAUACCACUAGUCAAGUUCCAAACUCUAUAUGCUUUGCUUGUAGUUGAAUAAACAAGUAAGAAUCCUUCAUCACAUUUCUUGUCAAACUUUCCCAAUCUAGUGCCUUUCUUCAAAAUAUAGCAUUUGCAACCAAACACUCUAAAAUAUGCAAUGUUGGGCUUUCUUCCAUUCAAUAGCUCAUAUGGUGUCUUCUCUAACAUAGGAUGAUAAUAGAGUCGGUUGAUAUAAUAACAUGCCGUGUUGAUGGCUUCGGCCCAAAAAGAUUGACUCACAUUGUAGUCACUAAGCAUAGACCUUGCCAUAUCAAUCAAAGUUCUAUUCUUCCUUUCUACCAAGCCAUUGGUUGAGGUGUCUACUUGGGAGAAAAUUGAUGUUUGAUUCCAUAUUUAUCACAUAAUUCAUCAACUCUUGUAUUCUUGAAUUCACUUCCAUUAUCACUUCUAACUGUCUUGAUGGUGGUCUCAAAUUCAUUGCAACAUCUCUUGACAAAAGAUUUAAAUUUGGCAUAUGUAUCACUUUUGUCAACUAGAAAGAAUACCCAAGUAUAUCUAGUGAAAUCAUCCACUAUCACAAAGCCAUAUUUAUUUCCACCAAUGCUAGUAUGUGUUGUUGGCCCAAAUAAAUCCAUGUGCAAUAACUCAAAUGCUUUGCAAGUGCUCAUGAUGCCCUUCUUAGGAUGAGUAUUUCCAACUUGUUUGCCGGCUUGACAAGCACUACAUAGUUUAUCUUUCUCAAAUUCAACAUCUUUCAAGCCUCUAACUAGAUCAUGCUUCACUAGUUUGUUCAAUUAUUUCAUUCCAACAUGACCAAGCCUUCUAUGCCACAACCAACCCAUGCUAGAUUUAGAGAUCAAACAAGUUGACAAUUGAGUUUCACUAGCAUUGAAAUCAACAAGAUAGAGGUUCUCAUAUCUAAAUCCUUUGAAUAUCAAGUUAGAGCCAUCUACACUUAUGAUCUCUACAUCAUCCACACCAAAUAUGCACUUGAAGCCAAGAUCACAUAAUUGAGAACCUAUAGCAAAUUGAAGUUUAAGCUCUCUACUAGCAACACAUUUGAUAUGCUCAUGUCAUUGGAUAUAGCAAUCUUACCAAGCCCUUUAACUUUGCCUUUGCCAUUAUCACCAAAUGUAAUACUUUCAAUAUCAUUGCCACUUGUAUCAAUAGAAUUGAACAUUCUUGAUUCACCGGUCAUAUGUUGAGUGCACCCACUAUCAAGAACCCAAUGCCUUCCUCCGGCUUUAUAAUUAACCUACAAUAAAAUCAAUGUUUCUUAGGUACCCAUACUUGCUUGGGUCCUUGGAGGUUAGUGACUAAGCUCUUUGGCACCCAAAUAGCUUUCUUCUUUGAGCCCACAAUUGGUAUACCAAUAAACUUAGCUUUCACACCAUUCUCACCCUUGGUAAGCAAAUAACAAGAAUCAAAGCAAAUGGAAGGUACAUUAGCAUUUUUCUUGUUCUUGUUCAUUUUAUUGCAAUUAUGCUCUUGGUGCCCAACUUGCUUGCAUCUAUUGCAAAACCGACCAUUGCCCUUCACAAAGCUAGCCUUGUGAGUUGCAAAGGCCGCCUUGCAUUUCUUGGGGGUAUAGCCCAAUCCCUCUUUGUUGAGAGAAAAUCUUUGGCUACCCAAGCACUUUAGCAAGCGGGCCUCACCACCAUAGACCUUGCCUAAGGCAUGAGUGAGCUCAUCCACCUCUCUCUUGAGAGUCUCAUUCUCAACCAUUAGUGAGGUAUCACAUGUGAAACCAUCACUAGUAGUGUAGGUAGAGUUGGUGGUGGUGGAUGAAGAGCUACAAGAAGGGUUAGUGGGUGAUACAAUUAUAGGUUGAUAAAAAGAUUCAUCAAUUAUAUCGCAAGUUACACCCAUAUCACAUACUACAACAUCCUCUUUCUUACUUUGCUCUACAAGGAGUGAGCUUUUUCAAGCUUGGAAUGAGCCUUUUGAAGGUCCUCAUGGUCUUCCUUUAGACUCUCAUGAGAAGCCUCUAGCUCACUAAUGGAAUGCUCAAGAUCUUUAACUUUCUUGAGUAGAGCCUUACACUUCUUACUUUUAGAACUAAUAAGAUAUUCGGCUUGUUCUAACAUGUCCAUGAGUUGCUCUACACUAGGCUCAUCAUCAUCAUUAUCACUAGCAUUAGCAUCACUAUCAUUAUUAUUAUCAUCACUAUCAUCAUAUUUUACCUUAGGGCCCUUGGCCAUGAAGCAUGAAGGUGAAUCAAAUAAAGAUGGCUUGUUGUUGAUAGCAAUAGAAGCCAAUGCCUUCUUCUUGUAUGUCUUCCUCUCAUCAUCACUAGAGUCAUCAUCAUCAUUAGAAGAAGCAUCACUAUCCCAAGUCACAACAUAUGAGCCUCCCUUCUUAUUCUUGGUGAAGCUCAUCUGCUUUUCUUUCUUCUCCUUCUUCUCAUUCUUGUCCUUCUUGCUCUUCUUGUCAUUUUCAUCAUCACUAGCAAGAGGACACUCCGCAAUAAGAUGGUCGAUGCCAUUACAUUUGUAGCACCUCCUUACAAAGUUCUUGCUCUUGGUAUUGUCUCUUCUCUUUCUUGCACCAUAGCCCUUUUUCUUCAUGAAUUUUCCAAAUUUGCGCACAAAGAGAGCUAGAGCUUCAUCUUCACUAUCCAUAGUUGAUCCUUCAUCAUCACUUGAUUCUUCUUUCUUUGCCUUUCCCUUGCACUUGUUCUUGGAGGAUGAAGCUUCGGCCUUGAAAGCAACACUCUUCUUUUUCUUGUCAUCCUCCUCUAAAUAGAAUGGUUCUCAAUGUUCUAAAUCUUUUAGGCAAACACAUCAAGAACUUGUGAAUAAAAUCCUCAUCCUUUGUCUUCUCCAGAAUUGUUUCAUCAUCUUUCAUCUUGAAAUUGUUGAGUUGAUUCUUGAGCAUAUACAUUUUGGCACUCUUCACAACUUUUGUGCCCUCAUAUGUUUCCUCUAGUCUUGUCCACACUUCACUAGCUCUCUCAAGAUCUUUUAUUUGCUCAAACACUUUUGAAUCAAUGCCAUUGUAAAUAGUGUUAAGAGCCAUAGUGUUGCAUGUUUUGUUUGCCCUCUCAUUGUCGGUGGGGUUAGUUGGAUCAAGAAUAAUAAAAUCAUGCUCGGUCACAUUCCACACUCUAUCAUUGAUUGAACCAAGGUACAUUUUCAUCUUUCUCCUCCAAUAAUCAAAAGAACUAGUGCCAUCAAAGAAAGGUGGUUUGCCCCCCACAUGGUUGAACACAACUUGAGCCAUAUUUUGCACCGAAGCAUGUUAAGCCUUGAUUAAAACGGUGACCACGGCUCUGAUACCACUUGAAAGGUCCUAAUUGGAUAGAGGGGGGUGAAUAGCCUAAUUUAAAAUUCUACAAAGACACUAGAGCAAGAAAAUUAGUAAAACAAAUGGCGAAAUGCGGUUUGCUCUAGCUCUACUUAUUAGGCAAGCCACCUAUUUGCAAUUCUAAUUCUUUAUUAUCUCUAUGCCACACAAAUACUAUGCCUCUAAUUUUACACUAGUGAGCAAGCUAAAAGAGCUAUCAAGAACAAUAAAUUAAGCUAUGCUACUCUAUUUGAUUUCUACCACCACUACACAAAAUAUGUUGCAAGAAAAAAAAUAAUGCAAAGAUGGAUAGAGAGCUUUUUAUACCAACGUUGGAGAGAAGCCAAUCACCAAGAUGAUAUCCAAUCAAUCACAAUUUCAAUAAGUGAAUACCAAUAAAUACCAAGAAUGCCAAUAUAUCAAUUCAAUCCAAUUCACCGGGAGACAAAGAUGACACAAUUAUUUUUCUCCCGAGGUUCACUUGCUUGCCAGCAAGCUAGUCCCCGUUGUGUCCCCCGCACCACGUGGUUCGGUGGCUAAUCGGUAUCACACACCGAGCCUAUCAAAAGGCGCCACAAGAACCUACCAAUGGAUUAGAGUUGAAUGACACAAGCAAUCCACUAGAGUUGGAAUUAGGCACUCCGCCGGGCACCACAAUAACCCCUCACAAAUCACCUCUUGAUUGGGGGCGGACACAAUAACCAAAUCCCCUCACCAAUCACCAAUCCACCAACCGUCUAGGUGACGGCAAUCACCAAGAGUAAUAAGAAAUCCUCAAUUGCAAUCACAAUCUAGUGCCACAAAUAUGAAUCAAAAAAUGCACAAGAACACUAGAUUUUACCACCUCCUCUCAUGAGCAUGAACCAACCAUGGAGAGGGAGAGGAGAUGAAGGGGAUCCUCUUGGAGCUCACAAAUCGAUCUCUAGAGCACUAUCCUUCACUUGAAUGGAGCACAAAUCAAUGGAGUGAAGGGAUGGAGGAUUGGGGCUCUUUUCUUCUAGGGUUUGCAAGAGGAAGAGGAAAGGAGCAGC
Molecule: long non-coding RNA, 9591 nt
Filed under: Sorghum bicolor (sorghum)
Lineage: Eukaryota; Viridiplantae; Streptophyta; Magnoliopsida; Poales; Poaceae
Description: long non-coding RNA (SBIC_LNC018727)
Source: RNAcentral